RNAcentral lists this ribosomal RNA (511 nucleotides) under uncultured bacterium. RNAcentral's name for it is "partial 16S ribosomal RNA". The record is from RNAcentral.
GUAGUUAGCCGGUGCUUCUUCUGCGAGUAACGUCACAGAUGUAAGGUAUUAACUUACACCCUUUCCUCCUCGCUGAAAGUGCUUUACAACCCGAAGGCCUUCUUCACACACGCGGCAUGGCUGCAUCAGGGUUUCCCCCAUUGUGCAAUAUUCCCCACUGCUGCCUCCCGUAGGAGUCUGGGCCGUGUCUCAGUCCCAGUGUGGCUGAUCAUCCUCUCAGACCAGCUAGGGAUCGUCGCCUAGGUGAGCCUUUACCUCACCUACUAGCUAAUCCCACCUGGGCUUAUCCAUCAGCGCAAGGCCCGAAGGUCCCCUGCUUUCCCCCGUAGGGCGUAUGCGGUAUUAGCAGUCGUUUCCAACUGUUAUCCCCCACAAAUGGGCAAAUUCCCAGGCAUUACUCACCCGUCCGCCGCUCGUCAUCUUCAAAAGCAAGCUUUUGAAAUGUUACCGCUCGACUUGCAUGUGUUAGGCCUGCCGCCAGCGUUCAAUCUGAGCCAUAAUCAAACUCUGA